UGGGGAAUCAUGGUCAAUGGGCGAAAGCCUGAACCUGCGACGCCGCGUGAGUGAUGAAGGUCGUAAGAUCGUAAAACUCUUUUCAGGGAUCUUAAAGCCUGUCUGUCAACAACAGGCAGGUCUGACUCUCCCUGGAAGAAGCCCCAACCAACUACGUGCCAGCAGCUGCGGUAAUACGGAGGGUGCAAGCGUUAUUCGGAAUUACUGGGCGUAAAGCGCGUGUAGGCGGUCCUGCAAGUCUGAUGUGAAAGCCCCGGGCUUAACCCGGGAAGUGCAUUGGAAACUGCAGGUCUUGAGUACUGGAGAGGAUGGGGGAAUUCCCGGUGUAGAGGUGAAAUUCGUAGAGAUCGGGAGGAAUAUCAGUGGCGAAGGCGCCCAUCUGGACGGUAACUGACGCUGAGACGCGAAAGCGUGGGGAGCAAACA
Molecule: ribosomal RNA, 425 nt
Filed under: uncultured prokaryote
Description: bacterial SSU rRNA
Rfam family: Bacterial small subunit ribosomal RNA
Source: RNAcentral